This 85-nucleotide transfer RNA is filed under the name Zoogloeaceae bacterium. RNAcentral's name for it is "tRNA-Leu". It matches the Rfam family "tRNA". From Rfam's summary of the family: Transfer RNA (tRNA) molecules are approximately 80 nucleotides in length. Their secondary structure includes four short double-helical elements and three loops (D, anti-codon, and T loops). Lineage: Bacteria; Pseudomonadati; Pseudomonadota; Betaproteobacteria; Rhodocyclales; Zoogloeaceae. The record is from RNAcentral.
GCGCAGGUGGCGAAACAGGUAGACGCACUGGAUUUAGAUUCCAGCGCCGCAAGGCGUAAGGGUUCAAAUCCCUUCCUGCGCACCA